GCAAACUUGGUCAUUUAGAGGAAGUAAAAGUCGUAACAAGGUUUCCGUAGGUGAACCUGCGGAAGGAUCAUUAUCGAGUUAGGGUCCUCUGGGCCCGACCUCCAUCCCUUUGUCUACCUUACCUCUUGUUGCUUCGGCGGGCCCGUCCACCCCCUGCGAAGGGGGAGACCGCCGGAGGGUUCCUGCCCUCUGGCCCGCGCCCGCCGGUGGCCUUCAAACCAUAAACUCUUGUCUAAAUCGUGUCGUCUGAGUGAAGAAAUCAAUAAUCAAAAACUUUCAACAACGGAUCUCUUGGUUCUGGCAUCGAUGAAGAACGCAGC
RNAcentral lists this unclassified non-coding RNA (320 nucleotides) under uncultured fungus. RNAcentral's name for it is "partial contains small subunit ribosomal RNA, internal transcribed spacer 1, and 5.8S ribosomal RNA". The stretch from base 1 to 73 matches the Rfam family "Eukaryotic small subunit ribosomal RNA", at positions 1759 to 1831 of the family's 1831-position model. Lineage: Eukaryota; Fungi. The record is from RNAcentral.